GGUGGUUCUCGGGUGCUGCAUCCCAGAAUUGGGCUCCCUCCUCUCUGGUUCCAGGGUGCAUCACCUGAGAAUCGGCA
Non-coding RNA from Myotis davidii, 77 nucleotides. The record is from Rfam. Lineage: Eukaryota; Metazoa; Chordata; Mammalia; Chiroptera; Vespertilionidae.